Molecule: ribosomal RNA, 358 nt
Filed under: Propionibacterium acidifaciens
Lineage: Bacteria; Bacillati; Actinomycetota; Actinomycetes; Propionibacteriales; Propionibacteriaceae
Description: bacterial SSU rRNA
Rfam family: Bacterial small subunit ribosomal RNA
Source: RNAcentral
GACGAACGCUGGCGGCGUGCUUAACACAUGCAAGUCGAACGGUAAGGCGCUUUCGGGCGUACACGAGUGGCGAACGGGUGAGUAACACGUGAGGAACGUGCCCUUGACUUUGGUAUAGCACUUGGAAACAGGUGGUAAUCCCGAAUAUUCAGUUUCCCGGGCAUCCGGGUUGUUGGAAAGCUUUUUGCGGUCAGGGAUCGUUUCGCGGCCUAUCAGCUUGUUGGUGGGGUAGUGGCCCACCAAGGCCUUGACGGGUAGCCGGCCUGAGAGGGCGACCGGCCACAUUGGGACUGAGAUACGACCCAGACUCCUACGGGAGGCAGCAGUGGGGGAAAUAUUUGCACAAUGGGCGGGAAAG